GAUGAACGCUGGCGGCGUGCCUAAUACAUGCAAGUCGAGCGAACAGAUAAGGAGCUUGCUCCUUUGACGUUAGCGGCGGACGGGUGAGUAACACGUGGGUAACCUACCUAUAAGACUGGAAUAACUCCGGGAAACCGGGGCUAAUGCCGGAUAACAUUUAGAACCGCAUGGUUCUAAAGUGAAAGAUGGUUUUACUAUCACUUAUAGAUGGACCCGCGCCGUAUUAGCUAGUUGGUAAGGUAACGGCUUACCAAGGCAACGAUACGUAGCCGACCUGAGAGGGUGAUCGGCCACACUGGAACUGAGACACGGUCCAGACUCCUACGGGAGGCAGCAGUAGGGAAUCUUCUGCAAUGGGCGAAAGCCUGACGGAGCAACGCCGCGUGAGUGAUGAAGGUCUUCGGAUCGUAAAACUCUGUUAUUAGGGAAGAACAAAUGUGUAAGUAACUGUGCACGUCUUGACGGUACCUAAUCAGAAAGCCACGGCUAACUACGUG
RNAcentral lists this ribosomal RNA (497 nucleotides) under uncultured bacterium. Its description in RNAcentral is "partial 16S ribosomal RNA". It matches the Rfam family "Bacterial small subunit ribosomal RNA", at positions 28 to 507 of the family's 1533-position model. The record is from RNAcentral.